RNAcentral lists this transfer RNA (75 nucleotides) under Chloroflexota bacterium. Its description in RNAcentral is "Chloroflexi bacterium tRNA-Met". It matches the Rfam family "tRNA". Rfam says of the family: Transfer RNA (tRNA) molecules are approximately 80 nucleotides in length. The record is from RNAcentral. Lineage: Bacteria; Bacillati; Chloroflexota.
GGCGGAGUAGCUCAGCGGUAGAGCAGGGGACUCAUAAGCCCUUGGUCGGUGGUUCGAAUCCGCCCUCCGCUACCA